CCUACGGGUGGCAGCAGUGGGGAAUAUUGCACAAUGGGCGGAAUCCUGAUGCAGCAAUGCCGCGUGAAGGAAGACGGUUUUCGGAUUGUUAACUUCUGUUCUUAGUGAAGAAUAAUGACGGUAACGAAGGAGCAAGCCACGGCUAACUACGUGCCAGCAGCCGCGGUAAUACGUAGGUGGCAAGCGUUGUCCGGAAUUACUGGGUGUAAAGGGAGCGUAGGCGGGUAGCCAAGUCAGCUGUGAAAACUACGGGCGUAACCUGUAGACUGCAGUUGAAACUGGCUUUCUUGAGUGAAGUAGCGGUUGGCGGAAUGUCGAGUGUAGCGGUGAAAUGCGUAGAUAUUCGGAGGAACACCGGUUGCGAAGGCGGCUAACUGGGCUUUAACUGACGCUGAGGCUCGAAAGUGUGGGGAGCGAACAGGAUUAGAUACCCCAGUAGUC
This 441-nucleotide ribosomal RNA is filed under the name uncultured bacterium. RNAcentral's name for it is "partial 16S ribosomal RNA". It matches the Rfam family "Bacterial small subunit ribosomal RNA", at positions 338 to 795 of the family's 1533-position model. The record is from RNAcentral.